CAGCAGCCGCGGUAAUACGGAAGGUCCAGGCGUUAUCCGGAUUUAUUGGGUUUAAAGGGAGCGUAGGCGGACGAUUAAGUCAGCUGUGAAAGUUUGCGGCUCAACCGUAAAAUUGCAGUUGAAACUGGUUGUCUUGAGUGCACGCAGGGAUGUUGGAAUUCAUGGUGUAGCGGUGAAAUGCUUAGAUAUCAUGAGGAACUCCGAUCGCGAAGGCAUAUGUCUGGAGUGCAACUGACGCUGAGGCUCGAAAGUGCGGGUAUCGAACAGGAUUAGAUACCCUGGUAGUCCGCACAGUAAACGAUGAAUACUCGCAGUGUGCGAUAUACUGUAUGCUGCCAAGUGAAAACGUUAAGUAUUCCACCUGGGGAGUACGCCGGCAACGGUGAAACUCAAAGGAAUUGACGGGGGCCCGCACAAGCGGAGGAACAUGUGGUUUAAUUCGAUGAUACGCGAGGAACCUUACCCGGGCUUGAACUAAGCAGGAAGAUGGGCAGAGACGCCUGUUGUCUUCGGACCUGCUUGGAGGUGCUGCAUGGUUGUCGUCAGCUCGUGCCGUGAGGUGUCGGCUUAAGUGCCAUAACGAGCGCAACCCUUCUCCACGUUUGCCAUCAGGUUAAGCUGGGCACUCCGUGGAUACUGCCAUCGUAAGAUGUGAGGAAGGUGGGGAUGACGUCAAAUCAGCACGGCCCUUACGUCCGGGGCUACACACGUGUUACAAUGGCCGGUACAGAGGGAAGCCACCAGGCGACUGGGCGCUGAUCCAUGAAAACCGGUCUCAGUUCGGACUGGAGUCUGCAACCCGACUCCACGAAGCUGGAUUCGCUAGUAAUCGCGCAUCAGCCAUGGCGCGGUGAAUACGUUCCCGGGCCUUGUACACACCGCCCGUCAAGCCAUGAAAGCCGGGGGUGCCUGAAAGCUGUGACCGUAAGGGGCGGCCUAGGGUAAAACCGGUGAUUGGGGCUAAGUCGUAACAAGGUAGCCGU
RNAcentral lists this ribosomal RNA (983 nucleotides) under uncultured Prevotellaceae bacterium. Its description in RNAcentral is "bacterial SSU rRNA". It matches the Rfam family "Bacterial small subunit ribosomal RNA", at positions 509 to 1503 of the family's 1533-position model. Lineage: Bacteria; Pseudomonadati; Bacteroidota; Bacteroidia; Bacteroidales; Prevotellaceae. The record is from RNAcentral.